Molecule: long non-coding RNA, 6767 nt
Filed under: Homo sapiens (human)
Lineage: Eukaryota; Metazoa; Chordata; Mammalia; Primates; Hominidae
Description: HSALNT0080468
Source: RNAcentral
GUGAGUAAUAAAGCUGUUUAUUUCACCUGGGUGCAGGUGGGCUGAGUCCGAAAAGAGAGUCAGCGAAGGGAGAUGGGGUGGGGCCGUUUUACAGGAUUUGGGUAGGUAAAGGAAAAAGGGGGGUUGUUCUCUGGCAGGCAGGAGUGGGGGUCACAAGGUGCUCAGCAGGGGAGCUUUUGAGCCAGGAUGAGCCAGGAGAAGGAAUUUCACAAGAUAAUGCCAUCAGUUAAGGUAGGAACAGGCUAUUUUCAUUUCUUUUGUGGUGGAAUGUCAUCAGUUAAGGCAGGAACUGGCCAUCUGGAUGUGUACGUGCAGGUCACAGGGGAUAUGAUGGCUUAGCUUGGGCUCAGAGGCCUGACAUUCCUGUCUUCUUAUAUUAAUAAGAAAAAUAAAAUGAAAUAGUGGUAAAGUGUUGGGACGGCAAAAAUUGGGGGGAUGGUAUGGAGAGAUAAUGGGCGAUGUUUCUCAGGGCUGCUUCGAGUGGGAUUAGGGGCGGCGUGGGAACCUAGAGUGGGAGAGAUUAAGCUGAAGGAAGAUUUUGUGGUAAGGGGUGAUAUCGUGGGACUGUUAGAAGAAACAUUUGUCAUUUAGAAUUAUUGGUGAUGGCCUGGAUACGAUUUUGUAUGAAUUGAGAAACUAAACGGAAUAAGAGGAGGAGAAAAACAGGUAUUAAAGGUCUAAGAAUUGGGAGGACCCAGGACAUCUAAUUAGAGAGUGCCUAAGGAGAUUCAGCAUAGUCCUGCCAGCAAAGAUUAUUUGUUUACUUCAAGAGUUAAGAGUGGGAGUUUGGGGAUAGCACCAGGAGAUAUCAGCUGUGAUGGCUUGGAGAAACAGUGUAAACCGGCAGUGUAAACAAGAGCAGGGCAUGUAUGAGUAGUUGAGAACGGUGACUAGGAGUAUGACUAGACAAGAUAGUAGGGAUGACAAGUUUUUUGGGGCACAGUCUAAGUUGGUCUGGUGUCUGGAAUGAGACUGGGGCUUAAUAAAAAGGAGCGUCUAUACAGGAGCUCAAAUGGGCUGUACCCUGUAGCAUUCCGAGGACAGGCCUGAAUUCUGAGAAAAGAAAGAGGUAAAAGUAUUGUCUAUUCCUUUUUAAGUUGGUGGCUGAGCUUGGUGAGGUGUGUUUUUAAAAGACCUUUAGUCUGUUCUACUUUUCCUGAAGACUGAGGACUGUAAGGGAUAUAAAGAUUUCACGGAAUACCAAGAGCCUGAAAAACUGCUUGGCUGAUUUGACUAAUAAAGGCUGGUCUGUUAUCAAACUGCGUAGAGGUGGGAAGGCCAAACCGAGUAAUUGUGUCUGACAGAAGGGAAGAAAUGACCGUGGUGGCCUUCUUAGACCCUGUGGGAAAGGCCUCUACCUAUCCAGUGAAAGUGUCUAUCUAGACCAAGAGGUAUUUUAGUUUCCUGACUUGGGGCAUGUUGAGUAAAGCUAAUUUGCCAGUCCUAGGCGGGGGCAAAUCCUUGAGCUUGAUGUGUAGGGAAGGGAGGGGGCCUGAAUAAUCUCUGAGAAGUAGUAGAGUAGCAGAUGGAACACUGAGAAGUUAUUUCCUUGAGGAUAGAUUUCCACGAUGGAAAGGAAAUGAGAGGUUCUGAGAGGCGGGCUAGUGGCUUGUACUGUAGCAUAGCCUGCCUUUGCUGGUGUGUGGCGAUUAGGCCUGGUGGGACUUCCAUCAAUAAACCAAGUGUGAUCAGGGUGAGAAACAGGGAAGAAGGAAAUAUGGGGAAAUGGGGUGAACGUUAGGUGGAUCAGAGAGAUGCAGUCAUGAGGGUCAGGUGUGGUAUCAGGAAUAAUGUGGGAGGCUGGAUUGAAGUCCAGGCCAGGAACAAUGGUAACUGUGGGAGACUCAACAAAGAGUGAGUACAGCUGAAGGAGCCGGGAAGCAGAAAGUAUAUGCAUCAGGUGUGAGGAAGAAAAUAGAUUUUGGAAACUGAGAGCUGUAGAGGGUGAGUUGAGCAUAGUUUAUGAUUUUAAGGGCCUCUAAAAAUAUUAGGGUGGCAGCAGCCGCUGCAGGAGACAUGAUGGCCAGCCUAAAACAGUAAGGUCAAGUUGUUUGGACAAAAAGCCUACAGGACGCGAUCCUGGUCCCUGUGUAAGAAUUCCGACUCCACAGCCCUGCACUUCGGCUGUGUGUAAUGAAAAGGGUUGGGAUGAGUCAGGGAGAGCUAGAGUGGGGGCAGUCUCUAAAGCUGUCUUCAAGGAACGGAAAGAGGAGUGGGGAAAGGAUUUAGGAUCUAUGGGGUCAGCUAGGUUUCCUUUUGUGAAUUUAUAUAAUGGUUUUGUUAGGAUGGCAAAACCAGGUAUCCAAAGGCGAAAGUAUCCAACCAUGCCCAGGAAGGAAAGGAGUUGUUGUUUUGUAGAAGGGAUUGAGGUUUGGGAGAUUAGCCAGACACGAUCAGCAGGGAGAGCACAUGUGUUUUUAUGAGAAUUAUGCUGAGAUAGGUAACAGAUGAGGAAGAAAUUUGGGCUUGACUGAAGUAAUGGGGGCUGUCUGUGAAGCUUUGCGCCAGUACAGCCCAGGUAAUUUGCUGAGCUUGAUGGGUGUCAGGGUCAGUCCAGGUGAAAGCAAAGAGAGGCUGGGAUGAAGGGUGCAAAGGAAUAGUAAAGAAAGCAUGUUUAAGAUCCAGAACAGAAUAAUGGAUUGUGGAGGCAGGUAUUGAGGAUAGGAGAGUAUAUGGUGUUUGGCACCAUGGGAUGGAUAGACAAAACAAUUUGGUUGAUAAGGCAUAGAUCCUGAACUAACUUGUAAGGCUUGUCUGGUUUUAGGACAGGUAAAAUGGUGGAAUUGUAAGGAGAGUUUAUAGGCUUUAAAAGGCCAUGCUGUAGCAGUCGAGUGAUAACAGGCUUUAAUCCUUUCAAAGCAUGCUGUGGGAUGGGAUAUUGGCAUUGAGCGGGGUAAGGGUGAUUAGGCUUUAAUGAGAUGGUAAGGGGUGCAUGAUCGGUCGCCAAGGAGGGAGUAGAGGUAUCUUAUACUUGUGGGUUAAGGUAGGGGGAUACAAGAGGAGGACGCAAAGGAGGCUUUGGAUUGGGAAGAAGGGCGGCAAUGAGAUGUAGCUGUAAUCCAGGAAUAGUCAGGGAAGCAGAUAAUUUAGUUAAAGUGUCUCAGCCUAAUAAGGGAACUGGGCAGGUGGGGAUAACUAAAAAGGAGUGCUUAAAAGAGUGUUGUCUAAGUUGGCACCAGAGUUGGGGAGUUUUAAGAGGUUUAGAAGCCUGGCUGUCAAUACCCACAACAGUUAUGGAGGCAAGGGAAACAGGCCUUUGAAAAGAAGGUAAUGUGGAGUGGGUAGCCUCCGUAUUGAUUAAGAAGGGGACGGACUUACCCUCCACUGUGAGAGUUACCUAAACCUUGGCAUCUGUGAUGGUCUACAGGGCUUCCGAGGCGAUCGGGCAGCGUCAGUCUUCAGCCGCUAAGCCGAGAAGAUCUGGGAAGGAGUCAGUCAGAGAGCCUUGGGCCAGAGUUCCAGGGGCUCUGGGAGUGGCUGCCAGAGGAAGAUACUGAGGGUAAGAAGUUGAGCAGCCCCCUAGAAGUCACAGAUUUGGUUUUGUCACUGAAGAACUAAAUGUAAGUAGGUAUAUGUACACAGCACAAUGAUAGUAUCUGCUCAAAACUGUAUUUGGUAAUAGCCAUAUUGCUCUCUUGAGCAAAAAUUUUAGCCAUGCCUAACAACACUAAUUUGCCAGAAACAUUCUAAAGAUCGAUUAAAUGUAUCAAAACAUUUGGAGCCUAGUUGAUAUAUGUGAUUAUGAGUUAAUUUAAACUAUUACAGAAUAACAACACUGGUUUUUAACAAUACAAAUAAAGCAAAAAUGUACACAACAGCAUUUUAUAAACCAAAAUCAAAGUGGUGGUCUAAUUUGGUGUGGCCUGUGUUAAAGCUUCAUUCAGAACUCCAAAGAGAGAAAGUAUUUGGUAUCAUUCUAAAAAACCGGGCACUAUAUACUUGAGAGGAAUAAAACCUGGAAAGCAGGCAGAUAACAAACUUAUUUAUUCAAUUAUUUAUCUAAUAAAUGUCUAUUAAAUAACUUCUUCGUGCUUGGGAAACAUUUAAAUAUCAAACCGAUCAAUAAGACACACAAAAACUCCUAUCCUUUGGAGUGUAAAUGCUACUGAGGGGACUGCCCAAAAACUAGGAAUAUAAUUAAUAUUAAAUUAAGUAGUAUGAUAGAAGAUGAUGUGAGCAAUGCAAAAACUAGAGAAAAGUAACGGGGAUUAGAAGUGCCAGGUAAGUGUGUGCAGAAAUUUUGGCCAUAUGACAAUUUAAAUAGAAGUUCCAGAGAACAGUUCACUGGGAGGGCAACAUUUAAGUAAAGAUUCGAAGACACUACGGUGGUUAACCGUGCGAAUAUAUGGAGGAAUGGUAUUCCAGGGAGAGGGAGAAUGGAACACAGAAGUCAUUAAAACAAAAUUGCAUAAGAAAGAACUGUAAGGAGGACACUGUAGCUAGAAAAGGGUGGACAGGUGGGAGUAGAAAAAGAGGAGGUCAGAGAAAACAGAAGGGAUAGUGUGAAAUAAUUGUCUAAAUAAGGAAGUAUAGGCCGCACGGUGGCUCACGCCUAUAAUCCCAGCACUUUGGGAAGCUGAGGGGGGCAGAUCACUUGAGACCAGGAGUUCAAAACCAGCCUGGACAACAUGGCAAAACCCUUUCUCUACUAAAAAUACAAAAACUAGCCAGGUGUGGUGGCACGUGCCUGUAGUCUAAGCUACUUGGGAGGCUUAGGCAGGAGAAUUGCUGGAACCUGGGAGGUGGAGGCUGCAGUGAGCCGAGAUUGUGCCACUGUACUCCAGCCUGGGUGACAGAGAAGGACUCCAUCUCAAAAAAGAAAAAGAAAAAAAAAUAAGGAAGUAGCAACACUGUCAGACAAUAUUAAUGCUCAGUCAAUAUUCAUAGUCAUAAAUUUAGAAGGUGGCUAAUCAGUAUCAUCUUGUAUUUGUCUCAAGCUACAUUCAGCUGGGCAGGUGAAGAUGUGCAGUAGAUGAAGAACUAGAUUUCAUCAGGGUUGCAGUUACUACAGAGUCAGAUCGAUAAUAUAUAGAAUAAAGCCUACUCAGUGGCAUUCCCCUUUCUGACCCAAUUUUAUGACUCACUUAUUUGAGCAGAAGACAAAUGAAAAUCUAUUUGAGACUAGCAAGUGCCUUCAAUAUAGCAAGAAACAAAUAUCUUAGAAGCAAUAAAAAAGGUAUUUCACUGUGAGCUAAGCUACAUACUUUCUGUUAGUUAUUCAAAAUCCACCGAGCUGAAAGUUACAGAAAUUGGAUUACUAUUGAAAAUUGAGAAAAUAAUAUAGUAUUCCAAAGGAACUGUACAGUUCAGAAUUAUAUAAUUUCAACAAAGUGUUUGAGACGAAUAGAACUUUCCCCCAAGAGUUUUUUGCUGCACUGAAAUUUUAUUAAACAGAUGAUCAGCCGUAACAUAAAGCUAUAGAAUAUAUUCUAUGAAGUCAAAAUACAUAGCACUUCCUUGUGAAUUUUCUUUAAAUGGCCAAAUAAUUUAUUAUUAUUAGUUCAAGUGAUGAGGGAUUGUAUCAAAUGGUAAAGAAGUGGAUAACACAAAAUCUGUAAACUUUUCCUUCCCUACCUUUCCUUACUAAUAAUUUAUCAUAUGUUUAAGUCCUAUUUUCUUCCCGUUAUGUCUACAGUUAAAAAAAAAUCUCUUCUGUAAAUGAGCAUUAUGAUUCUCUUCUGAACUUCUUAAAUUUAAGCCCAGCUAUGAUGCUUCCAAUUUAACAACAUCAUGCCCUUCCAAAGACAUAGAAACAGUGGGUAGUUACAACCACCCAACCCCAUUUUGCAUAGAAGAUAUUGUUACCAUGGCAACAGAGGACAACAGCGAACAGCAGCACACCGGUAAGUUCCCUGAACUUUAAUAAAUGGCUCUCUUUUAUUUAGUGCUACAUUCAUUGCCUAUACAAGAUUUAAAAAUCAACAGGAUGCUAAAAUGUGCAAUGCCCAUAUAAUAAAAUUAAAAAGGCCAUUUCUUGCUUCCACAAUUUUGUAUAUGCCUUGCACAUUAGUGCUUUUCAGUAUUUACAUGACUCAUCGCUCUACAAAAUAUGACUGGCUGAAAUAGAAGAGUAGUAAAUAGAAAGCAAUUUAACCUGAGUUAGUGUCUCACUAUUUCAUAUUUAGUUUUGUUGAGUAUAUACGUGUGGGCACACAUCUCUCUCUCUGUAAUUAUCGCUAGGAUUGACUCCAUCAGAAAAAAUUAUUUUCUUUUAAACUUAUUUUUAAUGAGAUUUCUACCUCCAUUGAAAAUGAAACCACAUUACCUAAGGGAAGUGCUCAAUAUCACUGUGCUUGAUUACUCAUCAAAGUCAUAUAGUUUGUAUUUAUAAAACCAGUAAUUAACACUUAAAAUAACUGACUCAUUUGACUCCUGGAAAAUAUGAUUUACUAACAUUUUUAGUGAAAACAUCAAAAUAAAAGACUACCAUUCUCUCAGGCUUCAGUGUUUUAAAAUUCUCUGAUUUAAGAUUGUCUCAUAACUCUUUUUUCUACCCCUCACAUCCCUCUAGUCUUUAUCAGGAUGUUUUUAUUUAUUUAUGUAUUUAUUUAUUGAUGUGUUCCACUUCUAAUUUUAACCAAUAAUUGGCUUUAUUUGUGCUGGAAUAAUGACUUCCUGCCUUGAUAUGGUAGGUCUUGAUCUUUGAUUCUCAGGAACAAGUUGACAAGCCUGGUAUGAUUUUGUAGCUUUUCUGUGUUCUCUAACUCCUGGCUGUCCAAAAUACCUGACACAUAUUAUUUUAGACUGUGAUGAAUCUAUAAUCACGC